RNAcentral lists this ribosomal RNA (604 nucleotides) under uncultured fungus. Its description in RNAcentral is "eukaryotic LSU rRNA". It matches the Rfam family "Eukaryotic large subunit ribosomal RNA", at positions 23 to 641 of the family's 3401-position model. Lineage: Eukaryota; Fungi. The record is from RNAcentral.
ACCCGCUGAACUUAAGCAUAUCAAUAAGCGGAGGAAAAGAAACCAACAGGGAUUGCCCUAGUAACGGCGAGUGAAGCGGCAACAGCUCAAAUUUGAAAUCUGGCCUCUUUUGGGGUCCGAGUUGUAAUUUGCAGAGGGCGCUUUGGCGUUGGCAGCGGUCCAAGUUCCUUGGAACAGGACGUCACAGAGGGUGAGAAUCCCGUACGUGGUCGCUAGCCUUUACCGUGUAAAGCCCCUUCGACGAGUCGAGUUGUUUGGGAAUGCAGCUCUAAAUGGGAGGUAAAUUUCUUCUAAAGCUAAAUACUGGCCAGAGACCGAUAGCGCACAAGUAGAGUGAUCGAAAGAUGAAAAGCACUUUGGAAAGAGAGUUAAAAAGCACGUGAAAUUGUUGAAAGGGAAGCGCUUGCAGCCAGACUUGCCUGUAGUUGCUCAUCCGGGUUUUUACCCGGUGCACUCUUCUAUAGGCAGGCCAGCAUCAGUUUGGGCGGUUGGAUAAAGGUCUCUGUCAUGUACCUCUCUUCGGGGAGAACUUAUAGGGGAGACGACAUGCAACCAGCCCGGACUGAGGUCCGCGCAUCUGCUAGGAUGCUGGCGUAAUGGCUGU